This is a small nucleolar RNA of Lycium barbarum (goji berry), 127 nucleotides long. RefSeq annotates it as small nucleolar RNA snoR111. The transcript has a single exon. Lineage: Eukaryota; Viridiplantae; Streptophyta; Magnoliopsida; Solanales; Solanaceae. The record is from RefSeq and is a predicted model, not a curated record.
UGAAAAUGAGGAAUAAGUCUUCUUUGUCUCAUCAUCAUUGAUUCUGUGAGGCAAAGAGAUGACAGAUGAGAUAUUGUUCCAGUGAUUACUCAUUCAGAUUGACGGUUCAGAUGUUGCUCGUCCACAU